AGAGCUCCAUCACUCUGAGUUCAGUCGGCUCACAACACAGUCAUGAUCCCAGCUGCUGUCAUAAAGCUCUCUGCAGCUCUGCUCUGGCUUGGAGGUCCAACAGACGGCAGUGAUGUCACUCAGACUCCUCUGCUGUGGGCCAACCAGAGUCAGUCUGCCACCAUCAACUGCACGCACUCUAAAAAUUUUGAUUUUGACCAGAUGUACUGGUACCAGCAGCUGCCGGGUCAGAACAUGAAGCAAAUAGUUUUCACCACAUCGUACAGCCCUGCACAGUAUGAAGAAGGCUUCAGCAAGGAGAAGUUUGAAGCAGAGAAGAAAGACAUCUGUCACUGA
Non-coding RNA from Poecilia latipinna (sailfin molly), 336 nucleotides. The record is from the annotation of a RefSeq genome assembly. NCBI's taxonomy places the organism in Eukaryota, Metazoa, Chordata, Actinopteri, Cyprinodontiformes, Poeciliidae.